This 425-nucleotide ribosomal RNA is filed under the name uncultured bacterium. Its description in RNAcentral is "bacterial SSU rRNA". It matches the Rfam family "Bacterial small subunit ribosomal RNA", at positions 355 to 775 of the family's 1533-position model. The record is from RNAcentral.
UCGAGAAUCUUCGGCAAUGGGGGAAACCCUGACCGAGCGACGCCGCGUGCGAGAUGAAGGCCUUCGGGUUGUAAAUCGCUGUCAGAGGGGAGGAAAUGCCGGAGGGUUCUCCCUCCGGUUUGACCUAGCCUCAGAGGAAGGACGGGCUAAGUUCGUGCCAGCAGCCGCGGUAAGACGAACCGUCCAAACGUUAUUCGGAAUCACUGGGCUUAAAGGGUGCGUAGGCGGUCCCGCAAGUUGGGUGUGAAAGCCCUCGGCUCAACCGAGGAAUUGCGCCCAAAACUGCGGGACUUGAGGGAGACAGAGGUGAGCGGAACUUAGGGUGGAGCGGUGAAAUGCGUUGAGAUCCUAGGGAACACCAGUAGCGAAAGCGGCUCACUGGGUCUCUUCUGACGCUGAGGCACGAAAGCUAGGGGAGCGAAGAG